GCUAAAAUAGCAAAGCCGUGAAAUGCUUAAGACUUAGGUUCUUACAAGCGGGGGCUCAAAUCCCCCUUUUAGCU
RNAcentral lists this transfer RNA (74 nucleotides) under Stereobalanus canadensis. RNAcentral describes it as "tRNA-Leu". It matches the Rfam family "tRNA". From Rfam's summary of the family: Transfer RNA (tRNA) molecules are approximately 80 nucleotides in length. The record is from RNAcentral. Lineage: Eukaryota; Metazoa; Hemichordata; Enteropneusta; Harrimaniidae.